Molecule: small nucleolar RNA, 143 nt
Organism: Psammomys obesus (fat sand rat)
Lineage: Eukaryota; Metazoa; Chordata; Mammalia; Rodentia; Muridae
Product: small nucleolar RNA SNORA48
Exons: 1
Source: RefSeq, a predicted model, not a curated record
CACCCUCGCAAUGGACAAAGAGACACCUUGGUGGUGGUGGUGUCCUUAUAUCAGUCUGGGACAAAGCAGAUAGUAGUAUUUUAUUCAUCCUAGCUUGAUGCCUAGCUUGGUGUACAAAAUGACUUUAUUCCUAUGACUCAUAA